CAGCAGCCGCGGUAAUACGUAGGGAGCGAGCGUUAAUCGGAAUUACUGGGCGUAAAGCGUGCGCAGGCGGCUUUGCAAGACAGAUGUGAAAUCCCCGGGCUCAACCUGGGAACUGCAUUUGUGACUGCAAGGCUAGAGUGCGGCAGAGGGAGAUGGAAUUCCGCGUGUAGCAGUGAAAUGCGUAGAUAUGCGGAGGAACACCGAUGGCGAAGGCAAUCUCCUGGGCCUGCACUGACGCUCAUGCACGAAAGCGUGGGGAGCAAACAGGAUUAGAUACCCCUGUAGUCCCUGUCUCUUAUAC
RNAcentral lists this ribosomal RNA (301 nucleotides) under uncultured bacterium. RNAcentral's name for it is "partial 16S ribosomal RNA". It matches the Rfam family "Bacterial small subunit ribosomal RNA", at positions 509 to 807 of the family's 1533-position model. The record is from RNAcentral.